This 183-nucleotide non-coding RNA is filed under the name Candidatus Nomuraibacteriota. The record is from RNAcentral.
AUAAGUAUAUACUAAAAGGGUUCAUUAAAAAAUCAUGAAAAGUGAUUGGGGAAACUGGUGACCUACCCGAAAUGUUGCGCAUAAUGUUGCAGGCGGGGAUUCCAGUACAGUGCCGCUACGGUAAGCCCACGACGUAAAAAAUCGGGGACAAGUCCGAAUACCAAUCAUUUUGUGUGUUUCCCG